UAUUAAAAUUGAUGAAUUUAUUUCAUAAAUAUAAGCUUAUAAAUAGUUAUUAUUAAUAAUAGUGUUAUAAUUUAUUUAUAUAAAUAUAUUAUUUAUUAAAAUUUAAUUUUUUAUUAAAAUAUUUAUUUAAAUUUUAAAAAUAAAAUAAUAAUAGUAAAAUUAGUAUAAUUAUUUGUUUAAAUAAAAAUAAUUGAAAAGUUUUUAUAAAGAAUUCGGCAAAAUAAAUGUUCGCCUGUUUAACAAAAACAUGUCUUUUUGAUUAAUUAAAAAGUCUAAUCUGCCCACUGAAAUUUAAAUGGCCGCAGUAUUCUAACUGUGCAAAGGUAGCAUAAUCAUUAGUCUUUUAAUUGAAGGCUGGAAUGAAUGAUUGGACGAAAUAUUAACUGUUUCAUGAAAAUUUAAAUUAAAAUUUUAUUUUUUAGUCAAAAAGCUAAAAUUUAUUUAAAAGACGAGAAGACCCUAUAAAUCUUUAUAUUUAAUUUAUUAUAAAUUUGAAAAAUUUUAUUUUAAUAAUGUAAAAUAUUUUAUUGGGGUGAUAUUAAAAUUUAAUGAACUUUUAAUUUAUAUAAACAUUAAUUUAUGAAUAAUUGAUCUUUUAUUAAAGAUUAAAAAAUUAAGUUACUUUAGGGAUAACAGCGUAAUUUUUUUGGAAAGUUCAUAUUGAUAAAAAAGAUUGCGACCUCGAUGUUGGAUUAAGGUAUAAUUUUUAAUGCAGAAGUUAAAAUUUUAAGUCUGUUCGACUUUUAAAUCCUUACAUGAUCUGAGUUCAAACCGGUGUAAGCCAGGUUGGUUUCUAUCUUUAAAUUUUUAAAAUAUUUUAGUACGAAAGGACCUAAUAUUUAAUAAAUUAUUUAAAUAUGAAUAUAAAUAAUUU
RNAcentral lists this ribosomal RNA (874 nucleotides) under Strongygaster brasiliensis. Its description in RNAcentral is "partial 16S ribosomal RNA". The stretch from base 629 to 788 matches the Rfam family "Archaeal large subunit ribosomal RNA", at positions 2542 to 2701 of the family's 2987-position model. The record is from RNAcentral. Lineage: Eukaryota; Metazoa; Arthropoda; Insecta; Diptera; Tachinidae.